CCCCCCCCCCCCACACACACACACCCUGCCCCGUCUCCAGUCCUGGGGCUGAGACUCUAGGGGCUCCAUCCUGAUCUUCUGUCAGAAAAAAAUACUUCUCCUGACUCCACCACCUUUUACCUAGUUGAUCCUGGAGCUGCCGUGCUCCUCAGGAGUUGUUUUGGGUGUUGGGAGCUGGGAGGUCAGCCUAGUUACAGACCGGAUUGUGGGGGUGGAGACUGAGGGAUCGAGGAGCCUGGAGGAGCAGAUGAUGGCACCGGGAGCGGGAGCGGUGGGGAGAAGGCACAGUCUUGGAGACCAUGCUCUGAGAUCCUGAGUGGGCUCGCAGGAUUACAGAUACCCAGUCCAGUCUCUUCCACGAUGACUGCCGCACCGAGCCCACAGGGGCAGAAAGCCCAGCACCCUCAGCUCCUCUCUGAUUUCCUUCUCUGCAGAGACCCCCUGGCAUUAUGAGAGUGGAAGUGCACCGGGGUCUAAAAGCAAAACCCAGAACUUCCACUGUGGUCUUGUUGCCUGACUUUCCUUGACAGAGGAAAUGAAGCCUUGCAUCACAGAACGAAGGCAAAGCCUCCUGAAGCAGACUUGGUAGCGCACGUGGUGGUAUGCUAUGACUGAUGGAAAGUGCAGAUGGGAAUUCACAUCUGACAACACUGACCACACCAUGAUCUCAAGGGCCUGCAGAUGGGGACAGAAAGCGUUACAAGACACAUUUUUAAAAUCAGGCUUUUGUCCUUGGAACUCCCAAGUGGACAGAGAAAAAGAGCUGCCCUCCCCAACCCCAACUCUCUCAGCUCCAGGAAACGGGACUGCUUUACCCCCAGUGAGAAGUGGUGAGCAGAAUGGGAGGUUGGAAACCCCAUAUGAAAACAGAUUUGUCUCUCUUGGCUCUUCCUUCAUCCUCAGUACAUUCUUCGGGUUACUUUGAAUGCCCUUUGUCUGCCCUAGCUGGAGCACAGGAAACAGGAAAGAACUUGUCCCUAGCACCUGAGUUUCUUAAUUCGUCUUGGGGGCAGAGGAGAGAAUGAUCCUGUGGAGCAGAGCUUCUCAAAGCAUGGUGCACAGAGAAUCGAGGAUAUCUUCAUUUUCACCCAUAUUAUUACUGCUGCUGCUGCUAAGUCACUUCAGUCGUGUCUGACUCUGUGCGACCCCAUAGAUGGCAGCCCACCAGGCUCCCCUAUCCCUAGGAUUCUCCAGGCAAGAACACUGGAGUGGGUUGCCAUUUCCUUCUCCAAUGCAUGAAAGUGAAAAGUGAAAGUGAAGUCGCUCAGUCAUGUCUGACUCUUAGCGACCCCAUGGACUGCAGCCCACCAGGCUCCUCCGUCCAUGGGAUUUUCCAGGUUUCCAAUAAAUCUUCCUGCCAGGGCAGGCCUAUCUCAGCAUCCCUCUUGAGUGCGACCAGAUAACAUUUGUAUUUCCAGUAAAGCCAGAGUACAGGAAGGGUCAAGGCUACCCUGGGGGCUGGAGUGUAAUGGAUUCAAGAAAAUGCCAACGUGAAGGAUUUAUUUGGAGUAACAGAAGUGGAGCUACUUGGCAAACUGCACUUCCUCACUUGGAAACUCUGUGGUGCUACCUAAAGACUGGACUCGAGGACAAACAAUCGCCUUCCUGAUUGAGCAGACUCUUGCCAGGAGCAAUGACAAAGGAUGAAGAAGAAGAAAAGAGCCUCCAUGGGUCCACUCCUUCCCUCUCCUGGGGCAGUCCCGGCAGAACAGUGUCUGAGCAGGAGGGCUUGGAGGGUGUGAAACGGGAUUGCUAAAUUGCCUAAGUCUCUAAAAAGAUCCAUAUGUCUGGGCGGCAUCAGGCUUCUGAGCUCAGGGAGGGGCCGAAAACGUCAUCUGCUGGACGGGCGUCCGGUUCUCUUCCUUUGGGGAGGAUUCCAUGUCAGUAUGACUAGAAGUUGUUAGACUUCAUGAUGACCCAGGUUGGGAACUCGGGGUGCAAGUGUUUGGGGUGUGGAGGAAGGGAGAGGGACAGAGAGUAAAUGGGAGUAAAUAAACCGGAAAGGUGAAGUUUCUAAGCUCGGGUCUGUGAAAUAUUUAGUAGGGAAAGAGUUUGGAAACCCCAGCAUAUUGACUUUUUUCUUUGAAAUUUUUUCUCAUGCCAGGAGAGUUUUGGGGGGAGCCACUGUGCAGUUGGAUGUUGGGCCAUUUGCCUACUACGUGGGAAGUCUAGAUGCCUAUUCCCAUAACUAACCCUCCAGAGCCAACGAAGAGUCACUCUCUUCCCCCUCACAUCUUUAACCUCCAAACUGCAGCUUCCUUCGGGGUAGGGGGUGGCAGAUGGCACACAGCUGUGGGACGCAUCUGGUCUUGCAGGGAUCAGAGGGAGGCGCAAAGACCAGUUGGAAUCCCAGUGGCUACCCCAGAGGCAUGGCUCCGAAGAUUUGGGGUGGUGCCCCUGACACUCUACCUAGAUCCCAUCUUGGACAGAUUUUCUGCGUUUCCUUAGUCCCCCACACCUCUUCUCUGCUCUGACUUCAACUGGAUCAGACAGAGAAGAUUUUGUGAGAGUGGGGAGGCAGCUGCUUCCCAGAUGUGUGUCUUCAGAAAUGGCCAUAUCCAAACACGGGAGCUUUGAGAGGAUUGGUUGGGGUGGGACUUGGGAGAUUCCUCUGAGGAUGUCCUAACCUGGGAGAGCUAGCACAGCAGUCGUCUGAAGACCCCAGAGUGAAGCUGGAGGACUGGAACUGGAGAAAGAAUGGCAAGGCCCUGGAGUGUUCUCAGCUCUUCUCUCCAAAACUCUGUGUCCAAACAUAUGACUUUAGUCAUUUGCCAGCUAAUCUGACUCACUGUGUGUGUGUUUGCUUCACAACUAGAACAUAGUCUUCUCCAAGGAGGUCUUGAGUCUGCCACACAGCUUGUCAGUAACUCCCCUGUUCCUGCAUUUCUCACUUGGAACACGAGUAGCUUCUAGUCUGGUCUCCUGAUAACCAUUUUUUUGUUGUUGUUGGUGGUGGUGGUGGUGUUUCUUCU
Long non-coding RNA from Bos taurus (domestic cattle), 2972 nucleotides. NCBI's taxonomy places the organism in Eukaryota, Metazoa, Chordata, Mammalia, Artiodactyla, Bovidae. The record is from Ensembl.